UUAAGCUAAGAAGAGCGUAGGGAGAAUGCCUUGGCAUUAGGAGCCGACGAAGGACGUGAUAAGCUGCGAUAAGCUGCGGGGAUCAGCAAGUAUGAAUUGAUCCGCAGAUUUCCGAAUGGAGCAAUCCGUAUGUGUAUGCACAUACAUCAUAUACUGAAUCAAAUAGGUAUAUGAGGGGAACCGCCUGAACUGAAACAUCUAAGUAGGGCGAGGAAGAGAAAUCAACCGAGAUUCUGUGAGUAGUGGCGAGCGAAAGCGGAAGAGGCUAAACCAUAGGUAGCAAUACUUAUGGGGUUUCGGACAGCAUUUAGUAUUGAUAAUUUCUAGUUGAAACGUGUGGGAAAACGUACCGAAGAGUGUGAGAGUCACGUAAGCGAAAGAGAGAAUCAGCGAGCUGUAUCCAAAGUACCGCGGGACACGUGAAACCCCGUGGGAAGAUGGGGGGACCAUCCUCCAAGCCUAAAUACUACCUAAUGACCGAUAGCGAAUAGUACUGUGAAGGAACGGUGAAAAGAACCCCGGGAGGGGAGUGAAAAAGAACCUGAAACCCUAUGCUUACAAGCACCGAGAGCACGUCAAAGUGUGAUCGGGUACCUUUUGUAGAAUGGUCCGGCGAGUUAUUGUAUGCGGCAAGGUUAAGUGCUUAAGGCACGGAGCCGAAGCGAGAGCAAGUCUGAACAGGGCGAAAAAGUCGUAUGCAAUAGACCCGAAACCGAGUGACCUAUCCAUGUCCAGGCUGAAGUGGAGGUAAAACUCCAUGGAGGGCCGAACACACGUCCGUUGAAAAGGCCGGUGAUGAGGUGUGGAUAGCGGAGAAAUUCCAAUCGAACUCGGAUAUAGCUGGUUCUCUCCGAAAUAGCUUUAGGGCUAGCCUCGUGAAAGAUUACUGGAGGUAAAGCACUGAAUGGGCUAGGGGUCGAAAGAUUACUGAACCCUAUCAAACUAAGAAUGCCAGAUAAUUGAUUCACGGGAGUCAGACAAUGUGAGAUAAGUCUCAUUGUCAAAAGGGAAACAGCCCAGACCCACAGCUAAGGUCCCUAAACAUUGUUAAGUGGAAAAGGAUGUGGGGUUGCAUAAACAACCAGGAUGUUGGCUUAGAAGCAGCCACUCAUUAAAAGAGUGCGUAAUAGCUCACUGGUCGAGUGACCCUGCGCCGAAAAUUCAACGGGGCUAAACAAUGUACCGAAGCUUGGGAUUCUAGAUUUAUCUAGAGUGGUAGGAGAGCGUCGAAUAAGGGGUGAAGUCAGAGCGGAAGCGCUGGUGGACUUUAUUCGAGUGAGAAUGCCGGAAUGAGUAGCGAGAAUUAUGUGAGAAUCAUAAUGGCCGAAAAUCUAAGGUUUCCUGAGGAAGGUUCGUCCGCUCAGGGUAAGCCGGGGGCUAAGGCGAGGCGGAGACGCGUAGCCGAUGCACAUACGGUUGAAAUUCCGUAGCCACCGAAAGAUUUAAGUACAGGGACGCUUUAGAAGUGAUGUAGCCGGGCGAUGGUUGACCCGGUCGUAAGGGAUCGAAAAUGAGUAGAGAAGUCAUCAUGGAAAGAGACAAGAAAAGCUGUAUGAAUAUCUUAGGUGCCCGUACCGCAAACCGACACAGGUAGAUAGGAAGAAGAUUCUAAGGCCAACGGGAGAAGGGUUGUUAAGGAACUCGGCAAGUUGACCCCGUAACUUAGGGAUAAGGGGUGCUCAAGUGAUUGAGCCGCAGAGAAUAGGCCCAGGCGACUGUUUAGCAAAAACACAGGUCUCUGCUAAAUCGAAAGAUGACGUAUAGGGGCUGACACCUGCCCGGUGCCGGAAGGUUAAGAGGAGAUGUGAGAGCAUUGAAUUGAAGCCCCGGUAAACGGCGGCCGUAACUAUAACGGUCCUAAGGUAGCGAAAUUCCUUGUCAGGUAAGUUCUGACCCGCACGAAAGGUGUAACGAUCUGGGCACUGUCUCAACAACCCGCCCGGCGAAAUUGUAGUACCGGUGAAGAUGCCGGUUACCCGCGACUAGACGGAAAGACCCCAUGGAGCUUUACUGUAGCCUAAUAUUGGAUUU
Molecule: ribosomal RNA, 2031 nt
Filed under: metagenome
Description: bacterial LSU rRNA
Rfam family: Bacterial large subunit ribosomal RNA
Source: RNAcentral